CCCUGGAUAGAGUUGACUUGAAUAAGAUGACACCCAGCAGGGUAAGUGUUAAGUGGUAACCUUGUGUUUCAAUGAUGGUAACCACAGAGGAGGGGCUGUAGCUGAGUCGUGGCGCUUGUGAGAAGGCACUGGAGUUAGCUCAGUAGGAACUCAGUAUGAAUCGACUGAACUCAGGAUGAAUUUGAGACGUCUGCCAAGUCUCCCAGGCCCCAACCCUAACUCUGUGCUCUGAGCGCCUCAAGCAUAGGGACGAGUCAUAGUCACUUAUUUCUAUGCCUGACACCUUACAGUCAACAUCCAGCAAGUCUUUGACGAGAACAUAACAUGAAUGGAGCGGUGCAAACGAUAAAGAGCGGCACCCUGGCAGCGGGUGAAUUCUCCCCAUUCACUAAUGACAACUCCUCCAGCAGGGAGCCCAGGGUUAACUGGGCGCUGGGACAAAAUAAACCUUACCUACUA
Molecule: long non-coding RNA, 459 nt
Organism: Miniopterus natalensis
Lineage: Eukaryota; Metazoa; Chordata; Mammalia; Chiroptera; Miniopteridae
Source: RefSeq, a predicted model, not a curated record